Molecule: ribosomal RNA, 271 nt
Filed under: Eiseniona oliveirae
Lineage: Eukaryota; Metazoa; Annelida; Clitellata; Crassiclitellata; Lumbricidae
Description: partial 12S ribosomal RNA
Rfam family: Bacterial small subunit ribosomal RNA
Source: RNAcentral
CACACCUCUAAAAGUAAAUAAGUAUGCAAUUUAUGGAUAUUACCCAAAUACGUCAGGUCAAAGUGCAGCUUAUGAGAGGGUGAUGAUGGGUUACAAUCUAAAGAAAGAUACCGAUCAUGAACCUAAAAAUCAUGUGAAGGUGGACUUGGAUGUAAUAAUAAUUUUCUAGUUAUAAUGAAAAUGAAUCUAAGACAUGCACACAUCGCCCGUCACUCUCGCCCAAAGGCGAGAUAAGUCGUAACAAAGUAGGCGUAACGGAAGUUGCGCCUGU